RNAcentral lists this ribosomal RNA (491 nucleotides) under uncultured bacterium. RNAcentral describes it as "partial 16S ribosomal RNA". It matches the Rfam family "Bacterial small subunit ribosomal RNA", at positions 29 to 507 of the family's 1533-position model. The record is from RNAcentral.
AGUGAACGCUGGCGGUAGGCCUAACACAUGCAAGUCGAACGGCAGCACAGUAAGAGCUUGCUCUUACGGGUGGCGAGUGGCGGACGGGUGAGGAAUACAUCGGAAUCUACUUUUUCGUGGGGGAUAACGUAGGGAAACUUACGCUAAUACCGCAUACGACCUACGGGUGAAAGCAGGGGAUCUUCGGACCUUGCGCGAUUGAAUGAGCCGAUGUCGGAUUAGCUAGUUGGCGGGGUAAAGGCCCACCAAGGCGACGAUCCGUAGCUGGUCUGAGAGGAUGAUCAGCCGCACUGGAACUGAGACACGGUCCAGACUCCUACGGGAGGCAGCAGUGGGGAAUAUUGGACAAGGGCGCAAGCCUGAUCCAGCCAUACCGCGUGGGUGAAGAAGGCCUUCGGGUUGUAAAGCCCUUUUGUUGGGAAAGAAAAGCAGCAGGUUAAUACCCCGCUGUUCUGACGGUACCCAAAGAAUAAGCACCGGCUAACUUCGUG